GUCGCCGGCGGCGGUGACUAGCCGCACCGCGACCAGGUUGUCGCAGCUCAGUCCGAAACGUCGGAGUCGUCCAACCCA
RNAcentral lists this small RNA (78 nucleotides) under Mycobacterium tuberculosis H37Ra. RNAcentral describes it as "AS1726 sRNA". It matches the Rfam family "AS1726 sRNA". The record is from Rfam by way of RNAcentral. Lineage: Bacteria; Bacillati; Actinomycetota; Actinomycetes; Mycobacteriales; Mycobacteriaceae.